AAGGCGCAAGAAGCUAGUAUUGUUUCAGGAUGCAAGCCCUUAUCUUUUGUAUGCAAAACGGGAGUAAUUAACAAGGUUCAGCGGAAACAGCAACAUGUAGCACAAGUUUUGCCUCCAAGAACAUACACUGGGUAGCAAACAGAGAUUAUUACAAAUCUUGAUGUACUCCAUCAGAGGAGCGGAAACUAGAAAGAACAUAGCGACCGAAUACAAAAAGUUCCCAAGUGCAUCCAACGACAACAAGACAACUGCACGGUACAACGACAUGAUCUCAUACCCAAGCUGCAAAGGAUGUAGGAUUAUGAGCAAGAUGAGCAUUGAUCGUCGCAAAACAAGGUUCUGGCUCCAACUCCUCAUUUUGGUUGCCAUCUACUGGGUAUGAAAAUACUCGAGCGUUUUCAUCCAACUGGUAGACAAGGCCACCCCUUAAACCCAUCCUCUCUGGGUUCACUAAGUGUCGUGGAUGUCCAAUGUGUUUCUGGCCAUAGAAGAACGCCCACUUCUUCAAGCCUCCCUCUUCUAAUCUCACAAACUUUGCAGGUUCAGUUGAGAAAUCAAUGGAGAAGGCUUCCCCGUUACGACCAAGUAGGAGAAGUGUGUCUUCACAAGCCACCAAAUUUCCGGAAAGCACGUAUGGGUCCAUAUAAUCUCUGCAAUCAACUCUUAGUAGCUCAACAUGAAACUGAGGUGUCAAAUACACGGUGUAUAGUUUUUGACGCAUCUUCAAAAUGAACCGGCCUUUGAAGGACACCAUCUCCUUGAUCAAAUGUGCAUUUAGAAAAUCGCAGUUCAACCAAGAGGGGCUCCCAACUCGCCAAACGUACAGGCAGUGUGGGCUGCUGACAAAUAGAUAUGAAUCCGGUGACGCUUCUGGAGAUAUGAAGGUUCUGUAGCAGAGUUGAUUCAACGGGAAAGGUGGAGCUGCAACCGUAGUGCCAAUGAGCACGUCCAUAAUGAUAAGGGAUCUGUCGUAGCAGAAAAUUGCAUGAUCAUAAGAACAUUUGAUGACUACCACUUUGUCCAAAAUACUUGGAGGGGUCAAGCGACACAACGGAGUACUUGGAUAUACAGGAUCAAUGAGCUCCCAUGUGUUUCCAAUGUUCGAGCCAGCUGAGCUUGUCUCGUCGGCACAGUUCCGAAAAAUAACAGGUGGGAAGAGCUUGCCUAAGGUAGAUCUGAUUGACAUGAAUGCGGCAUACCAGCUAGGGCAGGUGGCAAUGAAUGCAAGAAGGUCACGAGUUGAACCCAACAGGACAAUGAUGGAGUGCAAUAAUCCAUAUGGUAGGUCCGCCCAGCCUUCGGGUCCAAACAUGACACAGUGCACAGAGAUGGGGGUGUUGGAGCUCUGGUUGAUGUUUUGCAUGAUAUCAGCUCCAAAUUCUGCAUUAAGGAUCAUGAAAGGACAACAAUUUUAGCAAUGGACUUGAGUUAACUAUAUAAUAUAAAUUGUUGUCACUAUUUUAAUUCACUUGGUACUAAUACAACUAUGAUAAUUAUACAAACACAAUAAAAAUGUUUGUAGAAACUGUAAACAUAAUACACAAUAGAGUAAAGAUUAGGGUAUUGCCAUCCAAACGUGCAUGUGCCUCAAGAAAAUUCGAUCAUGACAAAAUUCAUCAACAUUUGAAAAUAAAAUGCAAGUUCUGUAUUUUUCUUUCCAUCGAAUGUUAUUUAUAUGUGUUGCCCUUCCUCAUUUCUUGCCCGGCCCCCAUGGACGACUUCAUAGUCAUCUUCAUCACCUUGCCACCGAUAGCCAUCCAUGAAACCACGCAAGAGCAGGCGGUCCCACACCUGCCCGGAUUCCGGGUCCGCAAUAAGGCUCUUCAGCUUGCAUCUUCGACACGGACAUCUUAUCUCUGUCUCGUUCUUUUGAAGCAUCUCGGCCUUCGCGGACCUCAAAAACCUAUUCACGAUGCCUUCAGUCAUCGUGCGGACCAUGGUCGCCUGCGGGGUAGAGCAAAACGAUAUUUUAGAACCAAGAAAAAAUUUGGCAUGACUUUCCCUAAAAAUAGGACCAAAAAGAAUGCUUAAUGCCAAAAUUCUCGCCGAAACAGAAAUGAAUCAACAUUCCGGCAAAACAUUGGCAACUAUCGCAUUUCAAAUACAGGUACACCUCCAAAUACAAACACAUAUGCAACACCACAAACAUAUGCAACACCACGAACAUGCAUAGAUCUAGCUAGGCCAUAAAAAGUGCAUGUGCACAUUUUUGUAGGGAGAACAACAUAAAUAUAGCUUCCCCCUUACUUACCUAUCAAAACAAGGUAAUUUAACCACGUAAAUUGAAUGAACCUAUGGUGGAAAUGAGGUGAAAAAGAGGAGGCACCCGAGACAAGGAGGAGGUGGAGAGAAUGAAGUGGGGAGAAAGUGAGUGUGGGUAGGAGAGGCUGUCCAAAAUAUCUUGUUGCUGCCCACUUACUAAUGGCGCACCAACUCUAAAUGCGCCAUUAGUAAUCCAGGUUACUAAUGGCGCACCUUCUGGUGGUGCGCCAUUAGUAGUUUUGCAAAAAAAAACAUACUAAUGGCGCACUGUCCCGCAGUGCGCCAUUACUAGUUUAAACUAGUAAUGGCGCACGGUGGAACAGUGCGCCAUUAGUAGUUUUGCAAAAAAGGAAUAAAAAAUAUAAUUAAAAAAACAACAUUAGUGGCGCACUUUCCGACAGGUGCGCCAUUACUAGUUACAACUAGUAAUGGCGCACUGUGUCUGGAUGCACCAUUAGUAUGUUUGGACAGGCGCACUAGUUCAAAUUUUUUUUGAUACUAAUGGCGCACCCUCGGCCUGGUGCGCCAUUAGUAGUUUCAACUCUAAUGGCGUAUCAGAAGGUGGUGCGCCAUUAGUAUAUACUAAUGGCGCACCGCUUGUCUGGUGCGCCAUUAGUGUCAAUCCCAUCUAUAGCCCUUCUUCUAGUAGUGAAUUGCCUUGCGCCGGGCUGUCCAGAUUGCCCAGAGUGUGACCGAGAGCAAUACGAACGAUCAUGCGUGAGCGACUGCAUGAAGGUGAAGAGCCACUGCUUGGCAUUGGGUUCUGUGUUGGAUACCAGAUUUUGAGCCAACUCCUCAUCAACAAGAGCCCAUACACAUCUCGAGCUAGUACAGUUUACCAAGGAGUGUCUCCAUGAAUCAGGAGAGCCACAUAAAUUGCAAUAAGCAUUAUCUGCCAUGUGCCGAUGAGCCCUAAUGUCCUCCGUAGGAAGGGAUUGCUUUGACAAAUGCCAGAGGAACAUCCUAACCUUUCCCAGGACCUGGGUCUUCCACAAAGAUUUCCAUGCUCCUUCCUCCCGCGCAUUAUUUGAUGUGCCAGCCGUUCCCUCAAGCCAUGCCUCACGACGCUGUCUUGUUGCUACAAGCAUGCGGUAAGCAGAUCUGACAGAGAAGUUUCCGCUUGAUUCAAAAUUCCAUCCCCAAAAAUCUUGGAGAUUGCGGGUGCACACCAGAAUCCCCAAUAUGAUCUGAGCAUCCAUGGGCAUAAAAACUUGGUUGACUAGCUGGAUAUUGCAUGAAGCACUCGUCUGGUCGAUCAGUUCCGAGACCAGGUUUGGCGGAUUUGGGUGAAUACUCCCAUACGGGCGUAACAUCUCAUCCCUUGGUAGCCACUGGUCUUCCCAGAUGCGAGUUGAUUGACCAUUGCCAAUUCUAUGAAUGAGCCCUUGUUUCAAUGUGUCCCUGCCUUCGAUAAUGGCUUGCCAUAUCUAACUUGGAUGGUUGCCCAAGGUUGCCUCCAAAAUGGAUGAGUCAGGGAAAUAUAUGCUCUUCAACACACGCGCACUAAGGGAAUCUGGUGUUUGGAGUAAUCUCCAUGCUUGUCGUGCUAACAUCACCAUAUUGAACAGUUCAAAGUCUUUAAACCCUAGGCCUCCCAUUCUCUUUGGCUGCGUCAUGCUUUUCCAAGAUACCCAGUGAGGUUUUCUUUUGCCAUCUUUGCUCCCCACCAGAACUUCCUAAUAAGCAUAUUAAGAUGCUCACAUAAACCCCUUAGGAGUUUGAAGCAUGACAUUGAGAAAACUGGUAUGGAUUGGGCAACUGAUUUGACUAGAACCUCCUUGCCUGCCGUUGACAUGGUGUUUUCCACCCAACCCUGCACCUUGCUCCAUAAACGAUCUUUGAGGUAUUUAAAGGCCCCAUUCUUCGAACUCCCAAUAUCUGAUGGCAUCCCUAGAUACUUCUCAUUUAAAGUUUCAUUGGGUAUAUUGAGUAAAUCCUUUAUUUCAGUUCUGGUAGCCUCCAGCACCCCCUUGCUAAAAAAUAUUGAAGAUUUUGCAAAGUUCACUCGCUGACCUGAUGCUUGACAAUAUGUAUUCAGUACUAGGUUCACCUCAUUAGCUCCUGCACUAUUUGCCUUGCAGAACAGCAGGCUGUCAUCAGCGAAUAACAGAUGGCUAAUUGGUGGCGCCGUAGGAGCCACUUGUACACCACCCAGAUUGGAUGACUCACUCUUUGAUUUUAACAGGCACGACAGGCCCUCUGCUGCUAGCAAGAACAAGUACGCAGAUAUUGGGUCCCCUUGUCUGAUUCCUCUUGAAGGUUGGAAUUCCUCCAGUCUCUUCCCAUUAAACAUGACAGAAAACUGUAUAGUAGUGACCAGUCCCAUAACUAUGUCCACCCAUCUCUCAGUGAACCCCAGCUUUACCAUGAUUGCUCUCAAAUAUGGCCACUCCACCCUAUCAUAGGCCUUCAUCAUGUCUAGCUUCAGGGCAAAAGACUGGUGUUCUUUGGCUUUAUUUCUCUACAUAAAAUGUAGGCACUCGUAAGCAGUGAUGAUGUUAUCAGUGACUAGUCUGCCAAGGACAAAAGCAGAUUGUUCCUCAGAAAUAAUGUCAGGUAGUACCACCUUAAGGCGAUUGGAGAUAACUUUGGGAGCAAUUUUGUAGAGAACAUUACACAAACUAAUGGGACGAAACUGGUUCAGUAGGGUUGGAUUUUUGACCUUGGGAAUCAACACCAAUACAGUCUCAUUGAUGCAUGUUGCCGAUUCUGUGCCCUCAACAAUUUUAAGCACGACUUUGGUGAUCUCGUCUCUGUAGGGUUUCGUAGUAAUUUCAAAAAAAUUCCUACGCUCACGCAAGAUCAUGGUGAUGCAUAGCAACGAGAGGGGAGAGUAUGAUCUAAGUACCCUUGUAGAUCGACAACGGAAGCGUUUGGUUGAUGUAGUCGUACGUCUUCACGGCCCGACCGAUCAAGCACCGAAACUACGGCACCUUCGAGUUCUAGCACACGUUCAGCUCGAUGACGAUCCCCGGACUCCGAUCCAGCAAAGUGUCGGGGAAGAGUUCCGUCAGCACGACGGCGUGGUGACGAUCUUGAUGUACUACUGCAGCAGGGCUUCGCCUAAACACCGCUACAAUAUUAUCGAGGACUAUGGUGGAAGGGGGCACCACACACGGCUAAGAAUAUGAUCACGUGGAUCAACUUGUGUUUGUCUGGGGUGCCCCUGCCUCUCUAUAUAAAGGCUCAAGGGGGGUGCGGCCGGCCUAGGAGAGGCGCGCUAGGAGGAGUCCUACUCCCUCUGGGAGUAGGAUCCCCCCCCCCAAUCCUAGUUGGAAUAGGAUUCGCGGAGGGGGGAAAGAGAGAGAAGGGGGCCGCCCCCCUCAUCUUGUCCUAUUCGGACCAAGGGAGGGGAGGGGCGCGCGGCCCAUCUUGGGCUGCCCCUUCUCUUUUCCACUAAGGCCCACUUAGGCCCAUAUAGCUCCCCAGGGGUUCCGGUAACCUCCCGGUACUCCGGUAAAAUCCUGAUUUCACCCAGAACACUUCCGAUAUCCAAACAUAAGCUUCCAAUAUAUCAAUCUUUAUGUCUCGACCAUUUCGAGACUCCUCGUCAUGUCCGUGAUCACAUCCGGGACUCCGAACAACCUUCGGUACAUCAAAAUGCAUAAACUCAUAAUAUAACUGUCAUCGUAACCUUAAGCGUGCGGACCCUACGGGUUCGAGAACAAUGUAGACAUGACCGAGACACGUCUCAGGUCAAUAACCAAUAGCGGAACCUGGAUGCUCAUAUUGGCUCCUACAUAUUCUACGAAGAUCUUUUAUCGGUCAGACCGCAUAACAACAUAAGUUGUUCCCUUUGUCAUCGGCAGGUGACAAUGAAUGCAAGAAGGUCACGAGUUGAACCCAACAGGACAAUGAUGGAGUGCAAUAAUCCAUGUGGUAGGUCCGCCCAGCCUUCGGGUCCAAACAUGACACAGUGCACGGAGAUGGGGGUGUUGGAGCUCUGGUUGAUGUUUUGCAUGAUAUCAGCUCCAAAUUCUGCAUUAAGGAUCAUGAAAGGACAACAAUUUUAGCAAUGGACUUGAGUUAACUAUAUAAUAUAAAUUGUUGUCACUAUUUUAAUUCACUUGGUACUAAUACAACUAUGAUAAUUAUACAAACACAAUAAAAAUGUUUGUAGAAACUGUAAACAUAAUACACAAUAGAGUAAAGAUUAGGGUAUUGCCAUCCAAACGUGCAUGUGCCUCAAGAAAAUUCGAUCAUGACAAAAUUCAUCAACAUUUGAAAAUAAAAUGCAAGUUCUGUAUUUUUCUUUCCAUCGAAUGUUAUUUAUAUGUGUUGCACAACAGGUUUGGCUCUUGUAUCCACCUCGAUCUCGGGCCCGCACAUACGCGAUAAAUUUCAUCAACAUUUGAAAUUAAAAGGUGCAAGCAAUAUUGAAAUACUAAGAUUGUUCUACACUGAUAGUGGUAAACCCUUGAACUAUUUCAUAGUUUUCAUAUAGUAUAAACACAACAGGAUCACACAUCCACCAACAACACAUACACUCAAAUCCCCAAAUCAUCCGGUCAGGCUAACAAGAACAAAAGUGCGAUGAGCGCGUCAGAGGAGGUCACCCCCAAUGGGGGUGAUGGCGGGACAAGGAAGAUGAUCCUGGGCAGCCUUGUGCGGUGGAGAACUCUGUUUGACCGUGGACGGUGGCACCGGUCAGUGAAUAUAUAUACUCGGCCAACCCACGAGACCAUGUCCUACACAUAAAUUGACUUAACCUAGAUCACAUCGUAUCCUACAUAUUUGGGACUCAAGCUUGACUCAAACACGUGAACUCCUACUAGUAAAUCUACAUGACUUUGGUUAGUCCCCAAAGAACUAAAGCCACGUGACAUGCAAGCACCAACUACGUCAUGUUCCAAACAAAACAAUCAAGAUUAUGCUAACACUAGCGCCGGCCCCCUGCACCACCAAUGGUUGUCAUGGGUUCUCAACUCCAACAUGAGGUGGGGAAGGUCUCGUUCACGAUACCGGCAAUCACUCCAAAGCUGCGUGUAGGUACAAAUCAGAGCAAGGGGGCAGAACUCGACAUCAACUUGGUUCCUUCAUGAGUCCGGCAGCCAGCAAGGAAAAUGAAGUGGGCAAAGUCAACCUCAACCAGGCUCAUCCCCUACCCCCUGGAGCCGGUAACACGAAAGCCAAGCACCACAAAGAUAAGAAUAGCCUCAAGGGUAAGCCAAGGAAGGAGGUAGAUCAAUCCUUGGUGAACACCAGGGCGGUGUUGGGUAAAUGCAUGGGACGUGAAAAGUGAGUCUGGUAGUGAGUUUGUGACGACACCUAGUUACACGGGUCCUGGUCUGAACAAGAAGGCAUGAGGUGAGGGUAAUGGAGGUGGCAUGAGCAACAUAGGUCUGUUAGGUGGUAAGGAAGCUAUCGGCCCAUGGGUUGUCGAUGAAUGACAUGUGAUAAGGAAGGCACCUGUCAGGAGAAAUGAGUUGCCUGAUCUAGAACUGUUGGGGCCUCAGGCAGUCCCAGAUAGUUGAAGAGCUAGUUUUCCUCGUGCGCACAUACACCACUCGAUGAUUAUUUUACUUCUAAAACUCGACAAUGUGAAAUAGUUUCAAUAAUCUUAGGUGGAUGCUAGGCCGCAGGAAUUAUAUUACGCAUGAUGGUAAGGGCAAUGGUGCCAACAUUGCGUUGUUCUGAGAUGAAAGAACUAAAAUAAAAAAGACUGCCAUAUAUGACCUGAGGUACAUUGAUGUCUUUAUUCAAGAUGAUUCCCAUGGCCCGAAGUGUCGGGCUACAUGGUGAACCAAGGAGCCAGGAAGACGUUACAUCUGGAGUUUACUCAAAAGAAUAAAGCCAAAUGCUCAUGAACACUUGUUGAUGAUAGGUGAUUUUUAUGAGACGAUGUGGCAACAUGAGCACUUCUUAGUAGCUUGGAUAUCCGACAGAAAAAUACCAAUUUUAGAGAAGCCUUGUUCUAGUGUGAUAUUCAUAAUUGGGGCUAUAAGGGGCCAUCUUGGACAUGCGAUAAUAAACAGUAUGGCAAAAGCAAUGUGACCGUCGGGUUGAAAGUGCAGUUGCAUCGUCGGGUUGGUGUGAUUUAUUCAAAGUGAACAGUGGUACACACAUAUGCUCCAACCACUUUCCUCUAUGGCUGCAAUACGGGAGACAGACCAAGGUGCAUAGCAACGUGAAAUCCUUUCGGUAUGAGUAGAUAUGGGAAAGAGUACCGUCGAUGGAGAUUGAAGUCCCUGGACGAUGACUGCACUAAGUUGGGAGUGCUGCAACAGGAUGUUUGGUCCUGGACAUGAAAGAUUUUGGGCCAUGAUAAGGAGUACUCAUUGGCUGAGAAGGAAUAUUAUAGUCACAUACUAUAUGCACCAUCUUAUUGGUUGCGAACUGUUGAAAUAUAUUGCCUGCCUCCCUCCAUCAGUUCGGACUUUUGGAUGAGUUGGCUGGAGCAUGAAUUCAAUAUGGUAUCCGAGCCAAGAGGUCUUGAGUUCAAGACCCUACCGACGCAGUAUUAAAUAAAAUGAUUUUGCGGCCUACAUCGACCCCACGUCUAAGGACUAAAAUAACCUAGACGUGAGGGGGAGUGUUGAAAUAUAUUGCCCGCCUCUCUCCAUCAGUUCAGACUUUUGGAUGAGCUGGCUAGAGCAUGAAUUCAAUACGGAUGGUCUGGAAAGCAUCUUAAGAAAGCAAGUCUUGGAAGGGAGGUUAAUUGCUAGGGGAGACUCGGUGUCUCUAAACUAAUGUUUGUUGAUGGAAGCCUUUUGUUCUUCAAGGCCAUAGGAAGAGAGGCGAGGGUAGUGAAGGACACUCCAAAUCUAUUUCAAAGGUGUACAUGAUAGCUUCUUAGCCCAGCUAAAUGCUCUUUAUUAUUUAGUGAACACUGCCCGCAUGUCCAGUAAGAGAUAAAGGUAACCCUUGGUGUUGUAACUUCCACUUUUGAGAGUAAAUAUUUGGGUUUACCAACCCCAGAAGGUAGGAUGUUUGACUCGAAUUUCAAUCGAUCAUGGAAAGGUUCACAAAAAUGUGCAACGACUGGAUUAAAAAGUAUAUGACCCAUGCAGCUAAAGAGAUCUUGAUCAAGUAAGUGGUUCAAGCGCUUCUCACUUACUUGUUUGGAUUGUUCAAAUAUCCUUGGGCUUUUUUGAAAAGUUGGGCUUUUUGUGGUAAGUAUGAAAAACUUAUCUGGGACUUUAGGUGGGGCGGUGAGUAAGGACAUCACAAGUCCAUUGGCUCUCCUGGUACCAACCGGUAAAACAAAAGAGAGGAGAUGUUCUAGGAUUAUGGGAUAGGUAUAUGUUUAACCAAGCUCUCUUGGAAUGGCAAGGGUGGAUACUCAUUCACAAGCCGGAUAGUUUAUGUUCUAGAAUCUUGAAAUGAGAAUAUUAUCCUCGUGUGAAUAUUCUAGACAUGGUCAUUUCCUAUUAUGCAUCGCCGGCUUGGCGUUAAGAUACUCAAGCAAAUACAUCAUCUGGCGUAUAGAGAAUGGAUGAAAAAUUCAGAUUCAAAGAGACAACUGGAUUCUAAGAUAGUAUGGCCUCAGGUCACCAAAUUCGCUAGAAACUCGAGGUUGAGGUAGGUUAACCAGUUGAUUGUCUCAAUAAAAAUGAAUGGAAUAUUAACCUUGUCCAUAGGCUAUUUUCUGACGUCAAUGCAGAGGAGAUAUUUCGCAUAAAUCACCCUUCUACGUGAUGGAUAACUUGCUUAUAAACUUGCCACCCAACUCACAUUCAGGUACAAUUCCCCUGCUUCUAGCUCUUCAAGUGCGACAUAUAAUUGGAGUAUUUGGGGUGUGUUUUGGAGAGCUAAGGUUCCAAAGAAGGUUAAGGUCUUUGGCUGGAGGUUGCUACUGGCUCACUGGCUACACAAUUUUGUAAAUUUAUAAAGGUGCUGAGUGUAACACCAUUUAUGCUAUUUCUGGUAACAAUGUGGAGCUUGAAUUCCAAUCCACGAUGGCUUUGUGGUGUUGGCUAGUGUCCCAUCAAUACUUCUUUUUCCCACCUGUCUAAUGAUUGCAAUCAGUCUAUAGUAAUAUACAAGUCUAGUGUUUUCCUCCAAUAAAAUAAAAUAAACACAACUCGAAGAUGAACUAAAUUUUUACAUUAAUUUUCCUAGAAAAAAAUAGGGCGAGUUCUUCUCCUACCUUCUUUGGUGUUGACAGCGGAGGGCGAAGUGGAGGCAACAACUACAUUCUCCGAUGCCAGUCGUGGUAAGACGAGGCCAUCGGAUUCAGUAUGCUGCUUUCGUCCAUCGCCAAUCAUCAUGUUUCCUCCAGAUCUGGGGAAAACGGACGCCUUCGACCGCGGUGACUCCAGAUCUGGAUGUGACUAGUCGCCCGCACCUAGGAUUCCAGAUCUGGAUGCGACUGGUCGCCCGCACCUAGGAUUCCAGAUCUGGAUGGAAACACAUUAGUAGCCCACACGGUUCUCUCAACGCAUCAUCCACCACUCAACUGUGGGGCGGUUCUAGCGCAGUUGGUGUGGAUGUCAAGGGGGAGGGGAACGUGUGUGACGAGAAAGAGAGAGCGGGGGGAGGGGAGAAAGAGAGGAGAGGGAGAGAGUCGUGUGUGGGUUUGUUCGUUAUAUAAAAGGCUUUAUCGGAGUACCAAGGGGAACCUUGUCAAACUCCGAGUGAUUUUUCUUGCUUUUGGCAACUUUAUACCUUGAACAAGCUCUAUUACUAAGAAAAGAGGGAGGCUAGAUUGUGCAUGCUUGUGAAUCGUGCACUCGCGUUUCGAUAAGUUUUAUUUUCCAUUUGGGAAAGGGUGCAACACCUCCUUGUUCCCAUUAGAAGAUUAGGUGAAGGCUUAAUAAGAAAUUAGGGAAGGCCCACCCUGAAAUUCAAUAGGAGAAGAGAUUAGGUGGAGGCUUAAUAGGAAAUUAAGGAGCUCCCAUCAGGAAAUUUUGGUGCAGGUAGAUUAGGUGGAGGCUUAAUAGGAGGUUAGCAAGGGCCUACCCUACUAAUUCAAGGGGGGGGGGAGUUACAUGUACAUUAUAUGUGGGCCUGCAUACCACAACAAGACCUCCCGUCCUCACGUUUAAAUUGCCCCGCCCUCUCCCACUUGGUGGGCCCACUUCUCUCCUUGCCGCUCCCAAAAAAGCGUGUCGGCUGAGAGUUGUGCGUGUUGGUCAAUUUGCUCGCUGGAGCGAGCAAAUACCAGUGAGUCAAUGUGAGGUGCUCCCAACCGGCAAGAACACGAAUGACACCAUGCAACAUGCAUCGACCGACCAUGAUUCCUGCAUACAAAUAGUGAACAUCAGACACCAAUGCCCUUACCUCGCUGACCGGACACCCACGGCUCCACUCCCAAACACAGGAAUUGGCGUGAAGUACUCGAUGUCCUCCUAGAAUUCUUGUAGCUCUUCACCCCAUAUUUUUAUUCCUGUUUCUCCCUGUCAAUUAAGACCCCUCUAUUGGAUUUCCCUUUGGCUUGAGAAUGACGGUUGUGACCUCCAUAACAAUGCAACACUCGUCACCCGACUUCUCCUCUUUCUCCUAUGUGUCUUCCUUGCCGAUGAUAGCAAAGUGGACGACCCCAACGACGGUGAUAUCCGCUCGAUGCCAAGGACAUGCGCCGCAUGCGAGGGAAUAUAUGUGAUCCGACAUCCACAACACAAUCCGUAAGGACGAGUUUUCUUCCCAACGAAACCUUCUCUCCUAGCCAAAGAUGACAUCCCUCCUCGAUCUUCUCGUCGGCAUCCGCAGAAGCAACUAUCCUAAUGGUCUAUCGGGAUUGAGGACACCGGAGCGCCAUUCAGAUAUGCCACCAAGAAAGGCGAUGGAGAAGCUCGUUGACCAUUGCACAUGCAGGGAAGGGGGCAACCCAGUUUAGUAAAUUGUAAUAACGAGUUGUAGUGUGCAUCACAAUUAUUGCAUAAACAUCCUUUGAUUAAUUAUAAAAAGAGGAUAAUUCAAAACCUCAUAUAAAAUGCUAUAAAACACACUCAAAUAAUCAAUGCACUGGUAUAAUCCCGCUAAAAAAAUACUAAAAUAUUUACCAUAGUUUCCUUAGGGGGCAGUCCUCUCAUUUAACUAGGCAGGCAAACCCAAGAAGCAAACACUCAUGAGAGACAUAAGCAUUUUCUAGUGAAAAGAAAUAGUGUUGCCAACUAAAGAAAAAAGAAGCAUGCAUAUACUCCCUCCGUUCCUAAAUAUUUGUUUUUUUAGAGAUUCUAAAUGGACUACCACAUACAGAUGUAUAUGGACAUAUUUUAGAGUGUAGAUUCACUCAUUUUGCUUUGUAUGUAGUCAUUUGUUGAAAUCUCUAGAAAGACAAAUACUCCUUCCGUCCCAAAAUUCUUGUCUUAGAUACAUCCGUAAUAUAAAAAUUUUGGGACGGAGGGAGUAUUUAGGAACGGAGGGAGUAGAACACAUGGGCAAUGAUGUACAUCUGAUCUUUUCAAAGGUAUAUGGAGGGACACAAAUAUCAACAUAGAAUAUGGAAUGAGUGGAUCAAAGUUGACUGGGAGUAGAAUCAAUAUGCGCAACAUCGCAUCUUUGAAAGGUUCCAAAUACUCGCAGGCGUCAUUAGUAACAAGUGCAUUUGAAUUAUCACAUGGAAACAACAAAAUAUAUCCAACAAUUCGUUUUCUGGCAGUAUAACAGUGUUGGAUUCAUUGAGAAAUACUGAAUCAUGUUCAUCUAGAGCGUUCUCGUCCUCCUGCGACAUGGUGACAUCUAGGUUUUGCAGGACAAAGCAGGACGCCGAGCUAGUACUUAACCCCAGGAACAUGAGACCAUGCCGUGAAACUCGAAUAUUGUCCUCCGAAGGCUGCAACAGUCAGCUUGAGCCUUGAGGCCACACCGAGGAAUGUUCUUCUUUCUAGGGCCGAAGAUCCUCGCUCUGCUUGUUUCCGGAACCAUUGCUUCUCCAUGUUUGAUCAAAAUUAUGUGAGUGUCGCCUCUUCCUGAGCACUGUCCCUCUCGCUCAUUGCGCCCAAGAUAGACGAUUUACCCCGGAACAUGCAACCACCGUGAUGUGGAGCACGCACAAAAACUGAACCACAGAAAUGGACAACGUUUUAUGGGUAGUCAGCGCAUCUAAGUAAGCUAAGUUGAGACGUGUUAGCAUCGGAGUCGUUGUAGUAUAGUGGUAAGUAUUCCCGCCUGUCACGCGGGUGACCCGGGUUCGAUCCCCGGCAACGGCGAAUUUUUUGUUUCGCGGCCCAUGACAGGCCAGGCCGAUUCUUUUCGGCCUGCUGAGAGCUCGCCUGGCCCGUCCGGGCCUAUUUAUCGUAUGCACCCUCGAAAAGUAUCCCGUUCGCUCUAGAGCCCUGCCAAAACAUUUUCUGUCAUGCUACAAAUUUGUUGUUGCAAUGGCAAAGCAUGCGCGUGCAUAAGGACUACUCCCUCCGUUCGGUGAAGAGUGUACAUUUGGUUUUAGAAUUUGUCAACAAAAAAGUGUACGUCUAUCUUCCUAACACACUUUAAAGUAGAAAAAAUAAUUUUCUUUUAUCACAUGGCAAUCAAGACCAUUAGCAUUCUACAUAUGGUCUCCUUAAUUUCUACAUGCAUUUAGUUUAUUGGGGGUUGGGUAAUUAAAAAGAAGAGAGAUGGUAGUUUGCAUCUUCCCAAUGUAUUUUUACUCGCCUCCAUAAGUUGCCCUAAAAUUUAUAUAUGUACGCUUUUCGCCGGACGGAGAGAGUACUACUACAUUCUAGACAUUGUCUAAAAUGGUUAUAAUGAAUACCAUCGAUUUUGAUAAAAGAAACACUAGUUUUUAGUUCGUGUGUGUUACCCCUGGUUUGUUGGUUUUGCAGCUAUAUUGCUAGCUCAAAUUUAAAUGAACCAGUGUUAUAUUUGUAGAUCAAAUGAGUUAGUAUUGUAUGUUAUGCGUUUAUGUCGGUCUUUUUCUCCGAUUUAACCGGAAGAAAUUCUUAGAUUUUCGAAUUUGGCUCAGUCGAUUUCGUUGGGAAGGAAGAAGGAAGCGCGGGGCAGGGCAAAACGCCGUCAAGGCCUCAGCUAGGAACAAAUGUAGGCGGAGGCGAGUUCAAAGGUUAACGGUUCGGGGUGCAGACUUGCAGAGAAAUUUUAGUGGUUCGCCGGUUUAGAGGGAUGGCCAUGAUGGCUGGCGCCAACAUGAUGAUGAGGAGAGUGGGGUGGCGGAGGCAAGCAAUUUGGCCGGUGGUCAUGGACGGUUUGGCAAAGAAGAUGAAUAGGGGAGGACAGUAGGUGGAAGAUGACCAUCUGGUCGUUGGCUGGACGGUUCAGAAAAAUCAACCAACCCAAUCUUUUUUUUAUCGGCCAACCUUUGGUCAUCCUUUUUUUUUUCUCAUGAGUAACUGUGUCAAGGUGAUUCUUAAACCCCAAUCAAGGUUGGAAUAUGUUUUUGUUUGUUUUAUUCUCUUAAUUGCAUAAGUAGAAUAGAAAUAGAAUUUAAGCUAGACUCGUCUUCACUAGAAUCAUAAUCCUAAUCUAUGCUCAUGCAUAUUGUUAAUGUACUACAUUCUCCUAUCUGUCUGAUCGAAAUUAUGUGAGUGCCGCAUCUUCCUGAGCACUGUCCCUCUCGCUUAUUGGGGCCAAUAGAGACGAUUUACUCCGGAACAUGCAACCACCAUUAUGUGGAGCACGCAUGAAAAGAGAUCUAGAGGAAUGGAGAACGCUACGUCUAAGUAAGCUAAGUUGAGUAGCAUUAGCAUGUACUCCCCUUGUUUCUAAAUAUUUGUCUUUUUAGAUAUUUUAAAUGGACUGUCAUAUACAGAUGUAUAUGGACAUAUUUUAAAGUGUUGACAUGGUGUUUUCCACCCAACCCUGCACCUUGCUCCAUAAACGAUCUUUGAGGUAUUUAAAGGCCCCAUUCUUCGAACUCCCAAUAUCUUAUGGCAUCCCUAGAUACUUCUCAUUUAAAGUUUCAUUGGGUAUAUUGAGUAAAUCCUUUAUUUCAGUUCUGGUAGCCUCCGGCACCCCCUUGCUAAAAAAUAUUGAAGAUUUUGCAAAGUUCACUCACUGACCUGAUGCUUGACAAUAUGUAUUCAGUACUAGGUUCACCUCAUUAGCUCCUGCACUAUUUGCCUUGCAGAACAGCAGGUUGUCAUCAGCGAAUAACAGAUGGCUAAUUGGUGGCGCCGUAGGAGCCACUUGUACACCACCCAGAUUGGAUGACUCACUCUUUGAUUUUAACAGGCACGACAGGCCCUCUGCUGCUAGCAAGAACAAGUACGCAGAUAUUGGGUCCCCUUGUCUGAUUCCUCUUGAAGGUUGGAAUUCCUCCAGUCUCUUCCCAUUAAACAUGACAGAAAACUGUACAGUAGUGACCAGUCCCAUAACUAUGUCCACCCAUCUCUCAGUGAACCCCAGCUUUACCAUGAUUGCUCUCAAAUAUGGCCACUCCACCCUAUCAUAGGCCUUCAUCAUGUCUAGCUUCAGGGCAAAAGACUGGUGUUUUUUGGCUUUAUUUCUCUUCAUAAAAUGUAGGCACUCGUAAGCAGUGAUGAUGUUAUCAGUGAUUAGUCUGCCAAGGACAAAAGCAGACUGUUCCUCAGAAAUAAUGUUAGGUAGUACCACCUUAAGGCGAUUGGAGAUAACUUUGGAAGCAAUUUUGUAGAAAACAUUACACAAACUAAUGGGACGAAACUGGUUCAGUAGGGUUGGAUUUUUGACCUUGGGAAUCAACACCAAUACAGUCUCAUUGAUGCAUGUUGCCGAUUCUGUGCCCUCAACAAUUUUAAGCACGACUUUGGUGAUCUCGUCUCCCCAUGUCUCCCGGUGCUGCUGAAAGAAGUGAGCAGGAAAGCCGUCUGGUCCUGGUGCCUUAGUAGGAAACAUUUGAAAAAGAGUCGUCUUAACUUCUUCUGCACUGUACGGAGCAUUCCACAGCGCAUUCAUCGCUUGCGUCACUAGUAGAAAACAUGGCUUUGGUCACGGGGCAAUAUUCACAUUAGUCCCGGUUCAGUCAUGAACCGGGACUAAUGUGAGCAUUGGUCCCGGUUCGUGCGGCUAAGGCAUUAGUCCCGGUUCACUUGAGCCCUUUUAGUCCCGGUUUGAGACACGAAAUGAGACUAAAGGGUGCGAUGCCCUUUAGUNNNNNNNNNNGGUUUGUGUCUCAAACCGGGACUAAAGAUUAGACCUCUAGUCCCGGUUUGAGACACGAACCGGGACUAAAGGGUGCGAUGCCCUUUAGUUCCGGUUUGUGUCUCAGACUGGGACUAAAGGUCCCAUUUUCAAACUCUACCCCCCUGGAUCGCCUUUCUUGUUUUGAAAAAACCAAAAGAAAAUGAUAAAAACUUCAAAAAAUAAAAUCCUUCGAGAGGUAGUUAUAUUACUACAUCUACUAGUUAGGAAAAUUUAAAAACUGAAAUUUGGACAUGUUUUGCAAAAAAUGUAGGGAAAAUGUAAAACGGCUAUAACUUUUGCAUACGAUGUCGAAAAAAAACGUAUAAUAUAUCAAAAUGUUCAGAACAAAAAUCCGCUUCCGAUUUUGACCGCCUACGGCCUGUUUGCAAAUUUUUAGAAUCCUCAAAUUCUAAAAGGAAAAAAGUUAUGCUCAAAUUUCAGUUUUUUUUGUAUUUUCGUUAAAUCUGGUCAAAGUAUGGUCAAACUACUUAUUCAAGAAAUAUUAGUGUUAUUAAAUAAUUAUUCAAGAAUAUUAGUGUUACUAAAUAAUUAUUUUGGUUUUUCUGAAUUUUUGUCAAAUCUGGUCAAAUUGUGGUGUAACAAUGGUCAAACUAUGGUCAAACUAUUUAUUUAAGAAAUAUUAGUGUUACUAAAUAAUUGUUUCGUUUUUUUUUGAAUUUUGGUCAAAUCUGGUCAAACUUUGGUAAAACUAUUGUCAAACUAUUUAUUCAAGAAAUAUUAGUGUUACUAAAUAAUUAUUGGUUUGUACAAUAAUAGUUUCAAACUCAAACAGUGAAAUGUGUGACUUCAUGCUCAAGCUAAACUCUGAAGGGCUAAUAGGAUUGGCAUCUUACUAUUAUCAGGAAAACAACAAGUGCAGACUUGGAAACGAAGGAGAAUAGAACCUGAAAGUUAAGUGUGCUCGGGCUGGAGUAGUGAGAGGGAUGGGUGACCGGACGGGAAGUUAGAUGAUUCGGAAUGAUGAGGGGUGAUUAGAGAUUAGAGGUUAAAUUGAGCAAUGAUGAGGGGUGGGUGAUUAGAGAUUAAAUUAUAAAAUAAUUCGGAAAUUUGAAAAUCGAGAAAAAAAUUCAAUUUUUUUUUAAAAAAAAUUACCUUUAGUCCCGGUUGAUGUUACCAACCGGGACUAAAGGUGGAGCUGGUGGAGCUCUAGCCAGCGGCCACGUGGGUUCCUGAUUGAACCGGGACUAAAGGGUCAGGGCAUUAGUAACGAUCCUUUAGUCCCUGUUCACAAAACCGGGACAAAAGGCCCUUCCCAACCGGGACUAAUGACCCUUUUUCUACUAGUGCGUUACCUUGCAUGGUACUGUUUCGAGGACCCGUUCCAUGUCACCACCCCUUCUGUCGUGUACAAAUCUUUGUAGAAAGCAGUUGUCAUAUUUUCCAUCUCCACCACGUUUUCAGUAACCUGACCGUCAGCAAGCUGCAGCGAUUUGAUCUAGUUUUUGUGUCGCCUCCUGCUCGCUCUCAUGUGGAAGAAAUAGGUGUUUUUGUCGCCAUGCAUGAGCCAGUCAACCCUGGCUCGUUGCCUCCGCAAGAUCUCCUCACGGUGAAAAAGUUCAAUCAAGCGGUCACAUAUUUUUGUCUCCUGCCGUGAGGGGCCGGAGCUUCCUGGGAGUUCGUGCAUCACCUGUAUCCUUUUUUAAUUCAGCUAUCUCUCUAUGAACGCUGCCAAAAUGUUGCCGAUCCCAGGUAGCUAGGUCACCCGACAGCGCUUGUAGCUUUGUCUUCACCUGCACCACCGAAUCCCCCUGCACCUGGUUCCAACCCGCAUGCACCACUGUUUCCAGCAUCGGGUUGCGCUCCCAGCAUACUUCGUAUCUAAACGGUCGUGGCCCCCUUCUGCAUGCAUGCAUUGCUUGGAGCCUAAGCAUCAUAGGUACGUGGUCAGAUGUAGCAGCAGUAAGGUGCUCCAGAGAAGCAUCUGGGAAGGCCAGAACCCAAGCGGGAUUAGCCACGCCCUUGUCCAACCGCACCCUUGUGUACGUUACCUUUUUCUACUAGUGCGUUACCUUGCAUGGUACUGUUUCGAGGACCUGUACCAUGUCACCACCCCUUCUGUCGUGUACAAAUCUUUGUAGAAAGCAGUCAUCAUAUUUUCCAUCUCCACCACGUUUUCAGUAACCUGACCGUCAGCAAGCUGCAGCGAUUUGAUCUGGUUUUUGUGUCGCCUCCUGCUCGCUCUCAUGUGGAAGAAAUAGGUGUUUUUGUCGCCAUGCAUGAGCCAGUCAACCCUGGCUCGUUGCCUCCACAAGAUCUCCUCACGGUGAAAAAUUUCAAUCAAGCGGUCACAUAUUUUUGUCUCCUGCCGUGAGGGGCCGGAUCUUCCUGGGAGUUUGUGCAUCACCUGUAGUUCCUUUUUUAAUUCAGCUAUCUCUCUACGAACGCUGCCAAAAUGUUGUCGAUCCCAGGUAGCCAGGUCACCCGACUGCGCUUGUAGCUUUGUCUUCACCUGCUCCACCGAAUCCCCCUGCACCUAGUUCCAACCCGCAUGCACCACUGUUUCCAGCAUCGGGUCGCGCUCCCAGCAUACUUCGUAUUUAAACGGUCGUGGCCCCCUUCUGCAUGCAUGCAUUGCUUGGAGCCUAAGCAUCAUAGGUACGUGGUCAGAUGUAGCAGCAGUAAGGUGUUCCAGAGAAGCAUCUGGGAAGGCCAGAACCCAAGCGGGAUUAGCCACGCCCCUGUCCAACCGCACCCUUGUGUAUGUGCCGCCCACCACCUUCUUCUCAAAGGUCCAGCUCUGUCCCUUAUAACCAAUGUCAGAUAAACCGCACGUGUCAAUAGCGUCUCGGAAUACGUGCAUCUGUUCUUGGCUUCGCUGGCCAAUUCCAUCGUGCUCAUGGGCAUGAAGUACUUCGUUAAAGUCCCCAAUGACUAUCCAUGGAUCGUUGCUCAUUCCUGCAAUUCCACGCAACAUGUCCCAAGUUUUGUACCGCUCGCUUGUUUGGGCCUCACCAUACACAAAGGUGAUUUUGGUUUUGAUAUCUACCAUCUGUUCAACCAAAACGUCUAUGUGAUACUCAGAAUAACUGAUAACCUCGAGCUUUAUUUCCUCAUUCCAAAAAAUGCCUAGUCCACCACUCCUGCCGGAGCUGUUUACAACAAAGCUUUUAUUAUAACCUAGAGUUCCUACCAGAUUCUCAACUCGUGAGCCCUCUAACUGAGUUUCAAGGAUGCAUACAAUAGAGGGGGCAAGUUGCUUCGAAAGAUCUCGAAGCUCUCGAACUGUCCCGGGUCUGCCAGCCCCACGACAGUUCCAAACUAGGCAACUCAUUGCGCCAGGCGCGACCCGUUGAUAGGGCCCGCCGAUUGCGCGCUGUUUUGGGUGUUUGAGGGUUUGUUCUUCACUUGGUUCUUCUUCAACUGAGGUGGGUUGGUCUUCGUUCUUUUGGUUUCUUGCUUCGACGAAGGGCUCUGUGGAACAGUUUCUGUGGCAAGUGUUUGAGGUUCCAUCGAAGAUGAUGGGUUGGCUCCUGGAGCAGUAAGCAAGAGCGCAUUUGCAAGGGCACCUCUGUUGCGAUUCACUUCUCCUUCUUCCAUCUCUGUAUCCGGAUCAGUAGCAGGGUCAUAUUUAUCUAGAUGUGUUUGACCGAAACCACGCCCUACGUGUCCUGCACGGCCAUUGCCUCGCCCUCGUCCACCUUCCGAGCCUCUUGCCUCUCCUGGUUCGCGACCUGGUCCCCUAAACCAAUCUGCUUUCAGGUUUUUGAACACUAGCGCUGAUGGGGGGUGAACCCCAUCGCCGCAUUCUUUGAACGGAUGGCCUAGCAAUCCACAUAUAGCACACCAAUCUAGGAGCCUUUCAUAUUUCACUCUGUAAAUCUCUCUCUUCUUCCUGAUCACCAGCGAGACAGCGUUCUUGAGCGGCUUUGUGACGUCCACCUUCACCCGAACCCUAAAAAAGUUACCCUCAAAGUCCUGGGAUUUGGGCUCAGCAAAUAUGAAAUCACCCACCGUAGCAGCUAGCAAUUUAAUCAGGUGGAAGAACAAUUCAGGGAGAUCAUGAAUCGGAAUCCACAUCUCAAUUUUAUCAAGAACAAUGGACGAUAGCCUAGUGAAACCAUCAUAGGGCUCGAUCACGACCGCUUUCCCUUUGAAGGUCCAAGGGCCAUCGCCCAUGACUCUCUCCCAAUCUCCCGGGCAGGAGAAUUGCAAGGUAUAGAGGUUUUCUUCUAGCGGACGGAACUUGACCUCUUGCGCUAGAUCCCAUGCCACCCACAUGUUGUGAAAGAACCAGUACUGGCUGUACGGCUUGUCCGUGUGAACCCGCGCGAUCGCCAUCCAACGCGCUACUUCCUCUGGAAUAUCACCGUCCUGAACCAUGAUGUCCUCCAGAUCAUCUUCUUUCAGGCCUAGUUCCUUCAUCAUAGCCUCCAUCUCGCUCAUCGCUGCGGCUGAAGCCGACGUUGAGCCUUCCAUCAGAUCUCUUGCCCGAGAAGACGGUUUCCGCGGGCGGGAGGACCCAAGCCAGGUCACCCAGCACUCACGCACGCCAGCAAGCCUAAGCCGCCGGCGAUCGGUGGUCUGAGAGACGCAGGGGAUCGCGAUCUCCACGUCAAUGCCUAGGCGCCGCCGGGAGGAGAGAAAAACCCUAACUAGAGGGGAAUAUUUUCAGGUCUGUGUUCAAAAUAGUUGUUUUUAAGCGAUGCGAAGGUGUACCAUGGGCCAUGGCUAGACUAGGCCUGGCCGGCGUUAUAACCGGGAGAAGGAAAUAUCCAGGUGAAAAGAGAAAAAACGGAGCCCGCUAGGGUUUCCCUCCGCCGCCGCCGCCCUCCCCCGCUCCCGCCGCCGCCGCCCUCCCCCGCUCCCGCCGCNNNNNNNNNNNNNNNNNNNNNNNNNNNNNNNNNNNNNNNNNNNNNNNNNNNNNNNNNNNNNNNNNNNNNNNNNNNNNNNNNNNNNNNNNNNNNNNNNNNNNNNNNNNNNNNNNNNNNNNNNNNNNNNNNNNNNNNNNNNNNNNNNNNNNNNNNNNNNNNNNNNNNNNNNNNNNNNNNNNNNNNNNNNNNNNNNNNNNNNNNNNNNNNNNNNNNNNNNNNNNNNNNNNNNNNNNNNNNNNNNNNNNNNNNNNNNNNNNNNNNNNNNNNNNNNNNNNNNNNNNNNNNNNNNNNNNNNNNNNNNNNNNNNNNNNNNNNNNNNNNNNNNNNNNNNNNNNNNNNNNNNNNNNNNNNNNNNNNNNNNNNNNNNNNNNNNNNNNNNNNNNNNNNNNNNNNNNNNNNNNNNNNNNNNNNNNNNNNNNNNNNNNNNNNNNNNNNNNNNNNNNNNNNNNNNNNNNNNNNNNNNNNNNNNNNNNNNNNNNNNNNNNNNCGGCGGGCGCGCCCCGGCUCCUCCUCCCCCUCCCCUCCUCCCCCGUACCCCCCGCGUCGCCUCCCCGAGCGAGGCGGCCGGGGGCUCCCCUUCCCUGCCCCUCCCAGCGCCCCCCUCCUCCUUUCCCCUCCCGCCGCCGCCGGCGUAGGCCACUGGGCCUGGCUCGCGUGAUGCCGCCGGCGGCGGCCCUGUUCUCUUCCUCCCCGCGCGGCGCUGUAGCUCGGGCGUUGGCGCCGGCGGCGGUGCACCCAGGUCGGCUUCGGAUCCGGUGGCGGCUCGUCUUCGCAGGCGGCGCAGCUCCGGGUGGCAUGGUGGCGGUGGCGUGGCUGCUUGGCUGCGGGGCGGCGCGGUGGCUGGCGGCGGUGCCCUUCCGGCCCAGAUCUGGGCCCUUUUGGGCCCCAUCUGGGUCUGGGUGGGCCUGGCGUGUGCUUUCCGGCGUCAUCUCCGGCGGACGGAGGUGUGGCUUGGGCUGGGGGUGGCGGAGACGGUGGCGCGUGUACUGCAGCGCAGCGACGGGAGCUUCACGAGCCCGCUUCGGGCUCGGCCGGGCAGGGGUGCCUGGUUUGCUCCUAAGCUACGUCCGGUCGGUCACCGCCGAAGGUGGUGGAGGUUGUCCCCUCCCACGUGGCCGCUGACCCUGCUGCUCCUCGUUUUCGGCUGGUUCCUCUCGAUCCCGCCGGUCUCGCUUCGCUUGUCACGGUGAGACGGCGAUGGUGACUGCGUGUCCGUGGUGGCGCAUAUUGGUGGACGGCAAGUAUGGUGGAUCGCGAUGGAUCGUCUGGGGUCGUGGUUGGUAGGAGGUUGGGAGAAAUCCUUGUCGGCUUGUUCGGCACCGACGCGGUGACGCCCGUGGGCGUCGCCGUGCCUUCCUGAAGGGCGUCGGAUAUCCCCCUUCCUCCCACGGCCCUUCGCGUACCGGGGGAAACCCUAGGCCAUGUCCGGUAGCAGCGUCGUUGUCGUCGCGUUCCUUCUUGAAGGUGUUACUUGGUAUGCGGCGUUUCGUGGUGCUAGGAGCGUGGUGGAACUCUCCGGCGGGCGCAGCGGUGGUGAGUCAUCUUCGUUUUUGUUGAUCCGCCGUUGUCGGCAUUUUUUUUUCCUUUUGUGUUUUCUCUUUUUUUUUUCUUUUGGGCGUGCCUGUGCUGCUUCCGCCCCAGCACCUAUCGUGGGUUGUAUCGAUGUUGUUGCUUUGUAAUACAAAGCGGGGGGAAACCCUUUCUCGGCAAAAGAGAAAAAACUGAUCUGUAGUUCUGUACCGUACUGCUUUACAGGCCGCGCUGCCCAUCGGAGACGCGCAUGGAGAUCGACGCGCAUCCUUCUUCCUCAGCCUCGGCUGCUGCUGCGUCCUCGUCCUCGUCGCCUACGUAAUACCCCCAACCCCUAUCUCGUCCUGUACUCCUCCAUAUCUCUCUCUCCCUCUUGUUCUGCAUCCCGUUUCCGUUCACCUGCGGAUGUUGAAUCAGAUCCGCCUACAUCUGCAAGAUUAAUCACACCUCAAUAUAUGGAACUAAAUUGGGUAGAUAUAGUUACAGUUUUGCUAAAGCACAUCUAGAUGUGCCAUAAAUAUUGCACAUCUAGGUCCUAAAGUCAUUGAUCUUACACGGAGAUUCCUGUGGAUAAUUUCUUUUUUCUUUUUCUUUUUCUUCUUAUGGCUUGAUUGAGUCAUUUAGAUGUGCAAUAACUAGGGCACAUCUAGUUAAGUCGUAGAUGGAUUCUGCUUAUUCUCGAAGAAGAAAAACAAUCCAGAUUGAGACUUUCCCUGCUUUAGGUGUCCAACAUUGCAGCUAAUAACGGAGGGAGAACCAUAUGUGCUCUGCUUUCCUUUUUCAGGCAGAAUCAACACUUGCCAGAUACAGUAUUAAUUUGAGAAAUAGGCGAUUUGUGGUUUGUAUUGUUCAGUAGACGCGAAGAAUUAUAUGAAACUUUAACAGGCCGUCUAUCUACCGCGUAGCUUCUACAUAGUUGUUAAUUUUAUUCUCAGGAGCGACAACGUCAGUAUUUUUUGUUAAUUUUAGUGUAUGAUGCAAGUGUAGUGACGUGUUGAUGUUGGAACGAUACACACAAGUCGUGUUUUCUGAAUCUUGGUAGCUCCUGUUUCUUUUUGUACAACUACACCUUGCUGCGCAUGUCUAACCUUUUGUCCUGAAUUUUAUGUGUCGCCAGGGAGAGCGCUGUCAUGCAAAUCAGGGCGAAGAGAACCUGCUAUGCCGCUGCCUCAUCUGAGGCACGAGGAUGGGCCGAGCUCCCGGACGACUUGCUCCGACCCAUCGUUGCUCUCCUCAGCUCGUCGUUCCGCGACCUCCUCGCCUUUGGUUCCACCUGUCAUCCCUGGCGUGAUUUCUCAGCGCACACGUCCUCUUUGUACCCUCUCCUCCUCCACCCGAGUACCGACCGCCAACAGUAUCCCUGGUAUGACUAUGACUACUGGACCCUUUUCCACGAAUGCACGUGGAGAUUGGCUGAUCCUGCUGCCGCCUCAUCCUAUCCCAGUUUGCUUUCCUUGAGUGAUCUCAGGGGAAUGUUCUUUCUGCGCUGCUCCUACGGUCACCUCAUCUUCUUCGACAAUAAGGGGUUCUACAUUGUUAAUGCGUUCAGUGGCGCUAAGGUUGUGCCUCCUUGCCUCAAGUCAGACAACUUCAUUCACAUUAGCUAUGCCACCUUGACUGCCCCUGUUGCAUCCGCUGACUCGCAUCUCCUUGUCGGCAGCGGAGGCUAUCUGUUUCAGUGGCGCGUCGGGAGCGACUCUUGGUUGGAACACUAUCCUAAAGUUCCUUUUCUUACGAUUGAACAAAUUGUGGCCUUCAAAGGCAAAACAUACACCCUAGGGUCUUUUGGGUCCUUCUGCAUCGUACAAUUUUCGCCCUGUCUCUUAGUUCAGAAGUUUGAAAUUAUGUUUGAGGAAGAUAGAACUGAAGAUCGCUAUUGGACAAAUCAAAAAACAUGGCUUGUGGUGUGCGACGUGCUUCUCUUAAUCAAACUUGAGGCAGUAAAAAGGAUAAGCUCUGAGGCUUUCCAGUUCAAGGCCUUCAAGCUCAAGUCGUUGGACGCCAAGAACAAGAAAGCAAGGUGGGCGAAGGUGGACAGGUUGAAUAACUGGGCCAUCUUUGUCAGCGCCGACGGGCGAUGCGAGGCGUUGUCGUUCAUGAACCCGGAGAGAUGGGGAGGGAGGAGCAACCACAUAUACUUCCCAAGUUAUGAGUCUGAACGACCUUGGGCUGCAGUGCAACUAUGGCAAAAAGCUAACAACCAUUCGACAAGUUCGUGGCUCUCGAAAACUGGAAGCCAGUACCACAGAUUGGUGCCAACCUGGGUCCUCCCUAGCGCAUAUCCUCGCUCUGGUCAGCAAUGAUCUUACGGCCAUCGCAGGCGUGGUUGGUGAUUGUCCUCUGAUACAGCUUCCCUGGGAGAGUUCUACCUUGUUUGGAGCAGUUACAUGAUGAGUAGUUUUACUGAAUGUUCUUAACUUUUUUUCUAAACUUGCAUUGCAAACAGAAGCUUUCACUGUAGAGUUAUCUGAUUCUGCUUUUUUUUUGUGGGAUUAUAAGGGACCUUAUGUUUUAUUGCUCAUCUACUACAAAUUACGGAGAUUACUUGUACUUGCGCCACUUGAUAACUUUGGGUUAGGCCUGCAACUUACUUUUAUACUACACACAUAAGGUGUUCAUCUAGGAGACUAGGACUGAGCCCAAAAAGCAAUUUCCUAAUAAACUCGCUAGUAUCUGUGCAGUGCUCAUUAUUCAUCAAGUUAUAAGCUUACUGCUGUUCUUCAUCUUUUCAUGUUGAACAAACUUGUGAUGUCUUUUAUUUAGUGCCAUGGCAGCUGUUUUGCUUCGAAUAAGUGUGCCAUGGCAAAGGUUUGCAUACUCACUGCGCAUGUGCCAUGGCAGGCGUCUUUCCCAUCGGGUUAGCCAGGUUUACAUGUUGCUUUUUUCGCCAAAGCUUGUUAAUUACUCCCAUUUUGUUAAUUAAGAAGCUUUGGCGAAAAAAGCAACAUGUAGAACAGGUUUUUGCCUCCAAGAACGUACAUUGGAUAGCAAACAAAGAUUAUUACAAAUCUUGAUGCACUACAUCAGAGAAGCGAAAAGAAUAAGGGAGUGUUUAGUUCGGUACUUCAGCCUGCCACUCCAACCUGCGGCAAGCCGCAAGUGAGGCGGACGAUCCGUCCGCCACACGCAGUGGCGGAGCUAUGUUGGGGCCAGGGGGAGCCGCUGCCCCCCCAGCCUUUUACCAAUUUCUGAAGAAAUUCUUUUUAGGGAGACUUAGAUUAGAACAUUUUUAGCAUUUGGCCCCCCCAGACACUGAUGAUUUGUGUUUCGCCCCCCCAGAGUUUUUCGGCUAGCUCCGCCACUGGCCACACGUUAGGCACGAAAAAGUGCAACACGGUAGUUUGUUUUGCUAUCACAUACUACAGCGUGUCAGGAAGCAAACAGUUGCCGGAGAUUGUCUGGCACGCCGCGCAUGUGGCACGGCAACCAAAGGCGUGAUCCAAACACACCCUAAGUACCAUAACAAUGGAACACAAACAGCCCCCAAGUGCAGCCAGUGGCAACAAGCCAACUACAUGGUGCAACGACACGAUCUCAUACCCAAGCAGCAAAAGAUGUAGGAUUGCGAACAAGUUGAGCAUUUAUCGUCGUAAAACAAGGUUCUGGCACCCACUUCUUAUUUCGGUUGCCAUCUUCUGGUUAUGAAAAUACUCGAGCAUUUUUAUCCAACUCGUAGACAUGGCCAUCCCUUAACCCCAUCCCCUCUUGGUUCACUAAGUUUCAUGGCUGUUUUUGGCCAAAGAAGCAUGCACACUUGUUCAUGCCUCCAUCUAUCCCCUCGCAUACUUUACAGUUUCAGUCGAAAAAUCGAUGGAGAAGGCAUCCCCGUUACAGCCAAGUAGGAGAAGCGUAUCUUCUCAAGCUACCAAAUUUCCCGAAAGCAUCUACCGGUCCAUAUAAUUGCUGCAAGAAACUCUUAGUACCUCACCAUGAAAACUAGGGUGCCAAAUGCACGGUGUACAACCUUUGAUGUAUCCUCAUAAUGAUCCGGCCUUUGAAGGCCACCAUCUCUUGGAUCAAAUGUACACUUACAAAAUCACAGCCCAAUCAAGUGGGGCUCCCAACCUCUCUUGUAGUCCAUGUGAUGUCAUGAGAUAGUUGGAGCCGAUGGUGGUUGUUCUACAUUGCCAAUCAAUGUUUUUAGAGAUAAUAAUAGAGGGUGUGGAUCACUGAUUCUCAAUUUGCUAGGAAAAUCAUAUGUGAUCUGCUUUUAUUUUUCUGUCAGUAUCGACACUUGCCAGAUACAGUAUUAAUUUGAGAAAUACUAGGCGCAAAGAUUUAUUUUCUAUCUAGCGCAUAUAUAUAAGUUCCCCAAAGAAUUGAUAUCCAGUGCCUGCAUCAUUGUUUAUCCAUGGCCAGCUCAUCUUCUACGACAACAAUGGGUUCCAUAUUGUUAAUCCAUUCGGUGGCACUAAGGUUGGUCCUCCUUCCCUCCGGUCAGUUCACUUCACUUGCAUCAGCUAUGUCACCUUAACUGCCCCUGUUGCAUCCGCUGAUUCGCAUCUCAUUGUCAGUGUUGUAGCCUAUCUGUUCCUGUGGCGCAUCGGGAGCGACUCUUGGACAAAACACAGUCCUAAAGUUGGUCGUUUUUUUAUUGAACAAAAUGUUGCCUUCAAGGGCAAGACAUAUGCCCUAGGGUCUUUCGGGUGGUUCUACAUCAUUCACUUGUCACCCAGUCUCAUUAUUCAGAAGUUUAGUUGUGUUUGAGGAAGAUAUAACCGAAGAUCUCUAUUCGGCAAAUGAAAAAGCAUGGCUAGUGGUGUGUGCUGAUGCACUUCUCUUGGUCAAGCUUGUGGAGGCGGGAAGAAGGAUGCGCUCAGAGGCCUUCCAGUUCAUAGCCUUCAAGCUUGAGUCGUUGGACACCAUGACCAAGAAGGCAAGGUGGGUCAAGGUGAACAAGUUAGAUAACCGGGCCAUCUUUAUCAGCAUUGACGAGUGGUGCGAGGCGUUGCCGUGCAUGAACCUGGAGGGAUGGGGAGGGAGGAGCAACCACAUAUGCUUCCCAAGUUAUCGGUCUGAACAACCUUGGGCUGAAGUCCAACUAUGGAAAAUGUGUUAUUACCAUUCGACAUGUUCGCAGCUCUUCAACACUAGAAGACAGUACCUGAAAUUGGAGUCAACCUGGGUCUUCCCCGUGCAUUUCCUUGUUCCGGCCAGCGAUGAUCUUACGGCCGUGGGUGCGGUUGGUGAUUAGCUUAUGAUACUGCUUUGGUGGGAGGAUUCUACCAUGUUGCAGUUGCAGGAUGAGUAGUUCACUGAAUGUUCUUGACGUUUUUCGAAACUUGCAUUACAAACAGAAGUUUAGAUUAAGUUAUCAGAUUAUAUGUACUCUCCUUUUUUUUCUGCGGCGAUUACAAGGGAACCAUAUGUUUUAUUUCUCAUCUAUUACAGAUUGUGGAGUUUUCUUGUACUUGGGCACUUGAUAACAUGGCCAGGCCUGUAACUUCCCAUUCAUACAUACAUAGAUACCUAUAAGGUGUUGGUAUUGCAACAGAGUAAUUGUACUAUGGUUGUUGAUUAUUCACGUGAUGUGCUUGAGCAUAUGACAGUCUCAUUUGGUGGAAAUGUGAAUAUUGAGAAAAUAGCUUGGGCAGAGCUAAAAAAAAUUAACAGAACAUGGUACGCCAUUUUGGGCUGGAGAGUUGCAAGGUCACCAAGAAUUGGAGUGAGGAUGCAAGUCCAUAGACAUCAGGUUAAUAUAAACUACAAGUUCAGCCAGCAAACAUAUAAGCAGCAUAUGUGCAUUCAUCACAAAGUUUGUGUUUGACAACCAAACAACUCUGCAUUUGCAGGUAGCUUCAGCAAACAGCUCUGCGUGCAUUUGAUUAUCUCUGUAUAAAAGGAGAUCAAGCUACAAGUAGAUGUAUGGACCAAACAAAGCACAUAACUCAAAUAAAAGCCCAGGCACAUCUGACAUGGUGCACACAAAAAAUGUUGAAGAGUGAUAUGAAGACGCAAGAAGCUAGUAUUGUUUCAGGAUGCAAGCCCUUAUCUCUUGUAUGCAAAACGGGAGUAAUUAACAAGGUUCAGCGAAAACAGCAACAUGUAGCACAAGUUUUGCCUCCAGGAACGUACACUGGGUAGCAAACAGAGAUUAUUACAAAUCUUGAUGUACUCCAUCAGAGGAGCGGAAACUAGAAGGAACAUAGCGACCGAAUACAAAAAGUCCCCAAGUGCAUCCAACGACAACAAGACAACUGCACGGUACAACCCACAUGAUCUCAUACCCAAGCUGCAUAGGAUGUAGGAUUGCGAGCAAUAUGAGCAUUGAUCGUUGCAAAACAAGGUUCUGGCUCCAACUCCUCAUUUUGGUUGCCAUCUACUGGUAUGAAAAUACUCGAGCGUUUUCAUCCAACUGGUAGACAACACCACCCCUUAAACCCAUCCUCUCUGGGUUCACUAAGUGUCGUGGAUGUCCAAUGUGUUUCUGGCCAAAGAAGAACGCCCAGUUCUUCAAGCCUCCCUCUUCUACUCUCACAAACUUUGCGGGUUCAGUUGAGAAAUCAAUGGAGAAGGCUUCCCCAUUACGACCAAGUAGGAGAAGUGUGUCUUCACAAGCCACCAAAUUUCGGAAAGCACAUACGGGUCCAUAUAAUCUCUGCAAUCAACUCUUAGUACCUCAACAUGAAACUGAGGUGCCAAAUGCACGGUGUAUAGUUUUUGACGUAUCUUCAAAAUGAACUGGCCUUUGAAGGACACCAUCUCCUUGACCAAAUGUGCAUUUAGAAAAUCGCAGUGCAACCAAGAGGGGCUCCCAACUCGCCAAGCGUACAGGCAGUGUGGGCUGCUGACAAAUAGAUAUGAAUCUGGUGAUGCUUCUGGAGAUAUGAAGGUUCUAGAGCAGAGUUGAUUCAACGGGAAAGGUGGAGCUGCAACCGUAGUGCCAGUGAGCACGUCCAUAAUGAUAAGGGAUCUGUCGUAGAAGAAAAUCGCAUAAUCAUAGGAACAUUUGAUGACUGCCACUUUGUCCAAAAUACUUGGAGGGGUCAAGCGACACAACGGAGUACUUGGAUAUACAGGAUCAAUGAGCUCCCAUGUGUUUCCAAUGUUCGAGCCAGCUGAGCUUGUCUGGUCGGCACAGUUCCGAAAAAUAACAGGUGGGAAGAGCUUGCCUAAGGUAGAUCUGAUUGACAUAAAUGCGGCAUACCAGCUAGGGCAGGUGGCGAUGAAUGCAAGAAGGUCACGAGUUGAACCCAACAGGACAAUGAUGGAGUGCAAUAAUCCAUGUGGUAGGUCCGCCCAGCCUUCGGGUCCAAACAUGACACGGUGCACGGAGAUGGGGUGUUGGAGCUCUGGUUGAUGUUUUGCAUGAUAUCAGCUCCAAAUUCU
This 29951-nucleotide long non-coding RNA is filed under the name Triticum aestivum (bread wheat). Its description in RNAcentral is "long non-coding RNA (TAES_LNC013967)". The stretch from base 13284 to 13355 matches the Rfam family "tRNA". The record is from RNAcentral. Lineage: Eukaryota; Viridiplantae; Streptophyta; Magnoliopsida; Poales; Poaceae.